Long non-coding RNA from Tigriopus californicus, 1002 nucleotides. RefSeq lists it as uncharacterized. NCBI's taxonomy places the organism in Eukaryota, Metazoa, Arthropoda, Copepoda, Harpacticoida, Harpacticidae. The record is from RefSeq and is a predicted model, not a curated record. The transcript has 2 exons.
GAGUGACAAAGAUAAAUAUGAUUAAGAUUAAGGCUAGUGUUAUUUAUGUUUACUGACAUUUAGUUACUUUAUUUGGGCGAGGAGUGAGAGUGUACUAGGCGCGUCAAAAAUAAACGAAAACUGAUAAGACAGUCAGACGCAUUAAACAAAUUAUCAUUGGAGAUACGUUGUUCGGCGAGUAGAAUCACUCUGGAGAAUAAAACGCAAAAUCAAGCGAUCGCCUUAGUAGUAAAAAGCAACAAAAAAUCCCUCUUCAACAUUUCUGAACGGACGUGAAGAUACAAGCCCCCGUGUUUAUUGGAUAAGGGGUGUGUCCUUGGGGACAAAACAUGGCGCAGUCGGCAGGGUCCGGCUUGCUGCUCUCUUUUUACGUCCGUAUAUCGUGAAUCUACGUACACUUAUGGAGCUUUGAGGACAUCAAGUUUCCCAGCCAAGAACAUCCCUUUGUUGAGGAAAACCCGACAAGCCAUUUGUGGACUUGUCCGGCCCGCCCCUUCUGCGUGUGGCCUGUAGCCCUCCAAGUUUGGGGCUCUUCAGCCCUCCAUGUAUUGUAUAGGAUACCCACCAGUGAAUAAUGCCCACCCUGUAUUGUGGAUGAUGCCCACCCUGUGUUGUGGAUGAUGCCCAUCCUAUAUUGUGGCGUGGAGGAUAGCCAAUUGUAAUAUGGAUGAUGUCCACUUUGUACCGUGGACGAUGCCCAUCCUGUUUUGUGGAGGAUGUCCACCCUGUAUUUUGGAUGAUGCCCACCCUUUAUUGUGGAGGAUGUCCACCCUGUAUUGUGGAUGAUGCCCACCCUUUACCGUGGAGAAUGCCCAUCUGUAUUGCAGAUGAUGCUCACCCUUUAUUGUGGAGGAUGUCCAUCCUGUAUUGUGGAUGAUGCUCACCCUUUACCGUGGAGAAUGCCCAUCCUGUAUUGUGGAUCUUGUAAUUACCAAUCAUGGCUUCCAAUUCUUUGGACGUGGAUUGUUCCAAUCAAAAUAUUAGUCUUAUUAUCAACUUUUA